AUUGAACGCUGGCGGCAGGCUUAACACAUGCAAGUCGAGCGGCGCGAGGGUGCUUGCACCUUAGCUUAGCGGCGGACGGGUGAGUAAUGCUUAGGAAUCUGCCUAUUAGUGGGGGACAACAUUGCGAGAGGAAUGCUAAUAACGCAUACGCCCGACGGGGGAAAUGAGGGGAUCUUCGGAACUUGCGAUAAUAGACGAUCGUAGGUCGGGUUAGCUAGUUGGUGGGGUGAAGGCCUACCAAGGCGACGAUCUGUAGCGGGUCUGAGAGGAUGAUCCGCCACACUGGGACUGAGACACGGCCCAGACUCCUACGGGAGGCAGCAGUGGGGAAUAUUGGACAAUGGGCGGAAGCCUGAUCCAGCCAUGCCGCGUGUGUGAAGAAGGCCUUUUGGUUGUAAAGCACUUUAAGCGAGGAGGAGGCUACUUAGAUUAAUACUCUGGGAUAGUGGACGUUACUCGCAGAAUAAGCACCGGCUAACUCUGUGCCAGCCGCCGCCGUAA
RNAcentral lists this ribosomal RNA (501 nucleotides) under uncultured bacterium. RNAcentral's name for it is "partial 16S ribosomal RNA". It matches the Rfam family "Bacterial small subunit ribosomal RNA", at positions 30 to 523 of the family's 1533-position model. The record is from RNAcentral.